This 693-nucleotide ribosomal RNA is filed under the name Bacillus sp. (in: firmicutes). RNAcentral's name for it is "bacterial SSU rRNA". It matches the Rfam family "Bacterial small subunit ribosomal RNA", at positions 80 to 759 of the family's 1533-position model. Lineage: Bacteria; Bacillati; Bacillota; Bacilli; Caryophanales; Bacillaceae. The record is from RNAcentral.
UGCUCCCGGAUGUUAGCGGCGGACGGGUGAGUAACACGUGGGUAACCUGCCUGUAAGACUGGGAUAACUCCGGGAAACCGGAGCUAAUACCGGAUAGUUCCUUGAACCGCAUGGUUCAAGGAUGAAAGACGGUUUCGGCUGUCACUUACAGAUGGACCCGCGGCGCAUUAGCUAGUUGGUGAGGUAACGGCUCACCAAGGCGACGAUGCGUAGCCGACCUGAGAGGGUGAUCGGCCACACUGGGACUGAGACACGGCCCAGACUCCUACGGGAGGCAGCAGUAGGGAAUCUUCCGCAAUGGACGAAAGUCUGACGGAGCAACGCCGCGUGAGUGAUGAAGGUUUUCGGAUCGUAAAGCUCUGUUGUUAGGGAAGAACAAGUGCAAGAGUAACUGCUUGCACCUUGACGGUACCUAACCAGAAAGCCACGGCUAACUACGUGCCAGCAGCCGCGGUAAUACGUAGGUGGCAAGCGUUGUCCGGAAUUAUUGGGCGUAAAGGGCUCGCAGGCGGUUUCUUAAGUCUGAUGUGAAAGCCCCCGGCUCAACCGGGGAGGGUCAUUGGAAACUGGGAAACUUGAGUGCAGAAGAGGAGAGUGGAAUUCCACGUGUAGCGGUGAAAUGCGUAGAGAUGUGGAGGAACACCAGUGGCGAAGGCGACUCUCUGGUCUGUAACUGACGCUGAGGAGCGAAAG